GGGUUGUGAGGUUAAGCGACUAAGCGUACACGGUGGAUGCCCUGGCAGUCAGAGGCGAUGAAGGACGUGCUAAUCUGCGAAAAGCGUCGGUAAGGUGAUAUGAACCGUUACAGCCGGCGAUGUCCGAAUGGGGAAACCCAGUGUGAUUCGUCACACUAUCGUUAACUGAAUACAUAGGUUAACGAGGCGAACCGGGGGAACUGAAACAUCUAAGUACCCCGAGGAAAAGAAAUCAACCGAGAUUCCCCCAGUAGCGGCGAGCGAACGGGGAGCAGCCCAGAGUCUGAAUCAGCUUGUGUGUUAGUGGAACGGUCUGGAAAGUCCGACGGUACAGGGUGAUAGUCCCGUACACCAAAAUGCACAGGUUGUGAACUCGAAGAGUAGGGCGGGACACGUGGUAUCCUGUCUGAAUAUGGGGGGACCAUCCUCCAAGGCUAAAUACUCCUGACUGACCGAUAGUGAACCAGUACCGUGAGGGAAAGGCGAAAAGAACCCCGGCGAGGGGAGUGAAAAAGAACCUGAAACCGUGUACGUACAAGCAGUGGGAGCACCUUCGGGUGUGACUGCGUACCUUUUGUAUAAUGGGUCAGCGACUUAUAUUCUGUAGCAAGGUUAACCGUAUAGGGGAGCCGCAGGGAAACCGAGUCUUAACUGGGCGUUAAGUUGCAGGGUAUAGACCCGAAACCCGGUGAUCUAGCCAUGGGCAGGUUGAAGGUUGGGUAACACUAACUGGAGGACCGAACCGACUAAUGUUGAAAAAUUAGCGGAUGACUUGUGGCUGGGGGUGAAAGGCCAAUCAAACCGGGAGAUAGCUGGUUCUCCCCGAAAGCUAUUUAGGUAGCGCCUCGUGAACUCAUCUUCGGGGGUAGAGCACUGUUUCGGCUAGGGGGUCAUCCCGACUUACCAACCCGAUGCAAACUACGAAUACCGAAGAAUGUUAUCACGGGAGACACACGGCGGGUGCUAACGUCCGUCGUGAAGAGGGAAACAACCCAGACCGCCAGCUAAGGUCCCAAAGUCAUGGUUAAGUGGGAAACGAUGUGGGAAGGCACAGACAGCCAGGAUGUUGGCUUAGAAGCAGCCAUCAUUUAAAGAAAGCGUAAUAGCUCACUGGUCGAGUCGGCCUGCGCGGAAGAUGUAACGGGGCUAAACCAUGCACCGAAGCUGCGGCAGCGACACUAUGUGUUGUUGGGUAGGGGAGCGUUCUGUAAGCCUGCGAAGGUGACCUGUGAGGGUUGCUGGAGGUAUCAGAAGUGCGAAUGCUGACAUAAGUAACGAUAAAGCGGGUGAAAAGCCCGCUCGCCGGAAGACCAAGGGUUCCUGUCCAACGUUAAUCGGGGCAGGGUGAGUCGACCCCUAAGGCGAGGCCGAAAGGCGUAGUCGAUGGGAAACAGGUUAAUAUUCCUGUACUUGGUGUUACUGCGAAGGGGGGACGGAGAAGGCUAUGUUAGCCGGGCGACGGUUGUCCCGGUUUAAGCAUGUAGGCUGGUUGUCCAGGCAAAUCCGGAUAAUCAAGGCUGAGGUGUGAUGACGAGGCACUACGGUGCUGAAGUAACAAAUGCCCUGCUUCCAGGAAAAGCCUCUAAGCAUCAGGUAACAUCAAAUCGUACCCCAAACCGACACAGGUGGUCAGGUAGAGAAUACCAAGGCGCUUGAGAGAACUCGGGUGAAGGAACUAGGCAAAAUGGUGCCGUAACUUCGGGAGAAGGCACGCUGGUGUGUAGGUGAAGUCCCUGCGGAUGGAGCUGAGACCAGUCGAAGAUACCAGCUGGCUGCAACUGUUUAUUAAAAACACAGCACUGUGCAAACACGAAAGUGGACGUAUACGGUGUGACGCCUGCCCGGUGCCGGAAGGUUAAUUGAUGGGGUUAUCCGUAAGGAGAAGCUCUUGAUCGAAGCCCCGGUAAACGGCGGCCGUAACUAUAACGGUCCUAAGGUAGCGAAAUUCCUUGUCGGGUAAGUUCCGACCUGCACGAAUGGCGUAAUGAUGGCCAGGCUGUCUCCACCCGAGACUCAGUGAAAUUGAACUCGCUGUGAAGAUGCAGUGUACCCGCGGCAAGACGGAAAGACCCCGUGAACCUUUACUAUAGCUUGACACUGAACAUUGAGCCUUGAUGUGUAGGAUAGGUGGGAGGCUUUGAAGCGUGGACGCCAGUCUGCGUGGAGCCAACCUUGAAAUACCACCCUUUAAUGUUUGAUGUUCUAACGUUGGCCCCUUACCGGGGUUGCGGACAGUGUCUGGUGGGUAGUUUGACUGGGGCGGUCUCCUCCCAAAGCGUAACGGAGGAGCACGAAGGUUAGCUAAUCCUGGUCGGACAUCAGGAGGUUAGUGCAAUGGCAUAAGCUAGCUUGACUGCGAGCGUGACGGCGCGAGCAGGUGCGAAAGCAGGUCAUAGUGAUCCGGUGGUUCUGAAUGGAAGGGCCAUCGCUCAACGGAUAAAAGGUACUCCGGGGAUAACAGGCUGAUACCGCCCAAGAGUUCAUAUCGACGGCGGUGUUUGGCACCUCGAUGUCGGCUCAUCACAUCCUGGGGCUGAAGUAGGUCCCAAGGGUAUGGCUGUUCGCCAUUUAAAGUGGUACGCGAGCUGGGUUUAGAACGUCGUGAGACAGUUCGGUCCCUAUCUGCCGUGGGCGCUGGAGAAUUGAGGGGGGCUGCUCCUAGUACGAGAGGACCGGAGUGGACGCAUCACUGGUGUUCGGGUUGUCAUGCCAAUGGCACUGCCCGGUAGCUAAAUGCGGAAGAGAUAAGUGCUGAAAGCAUCUAAGCACGAAACUUGCCCCGAGAUGAGUUCUCCCUGAGACUUUAAGUCUCCUGAAGGAACGUUAAAGACGAUGACGUUGAUAGGCCGGGUGUGUAAGCGCAGCGAUGCGUUGAGCUAACCGGUACUAAUGAACCGUGAGGCUUAACCUUACAACGCCGAAG
This 2923-nucleotide ribosomal RNA is filed under the name Klebsiella pneumoniae. RNAcentral's name for it is "bacterial LSU rRNA". It matches the Rfam family "Bacterial large subunit ribosomal RNA". The record is from RNAcentral. Lineage: Bacteria; Pseudomonadati; Pseudomonadota; Gammaproteobacteria; Enterobacterales; Enterobacteriaceae.